GGGUUGUGAGGUUAAGCGACUAAGCGUACACGGUGGAUGCCCUGGCAGUCAGAGGCGAUGAAGGACGUGCUAAUCUGCGAAAAGCGUCGGUAAGGUGAUAUGAACCGUUAUAACCGGCGAUGUCCGAAUGGGGAAACCCAGUGCAAUUCGUUGCACUAUCGUUAACUGAAUACAUAGGUUAACGAGGCGAACCGGGGGAACUGAAACAUCUAAGUACCCCGAGGAAAAGAAAUCAACCGAGAUUCCCCCAGUAGCGGCGAGCGAACGGGGAGCAGCCCAGAGUCUGAAUCAGCUUGUGUGUUAGUGGAACGGUCUGGAAAGUCCGACGGUACAGGGUGAUAGUCCCGUACACCAAAAUGCACAGGUUGUGAACUCGAAGAGUAGGGCGGGACACGUGGUAUCCUGUCUGAAUAUGGGGGGACCAUCCUCCAAGGCUAAAUACUCCUGACUGACCGAUAGUGAACCAGUACCGUGAGGGAAAGGCGAAAAGAACCCCGGCGAGGGGAGUGAAAAAGAACCUGAAACCGUGUACGUACAAGCAGUGGGAGCACCUUCGGGUGUGACUGCGUACCUUUUGUAUAAUGGGUCAGCGACUUAUAUUCUGUAGCAAGGUUAACCGUAUAGGGGAGCCGCAGGGAAACCGAGUCUUAACUGGGCGUUAAGUUGCAGGGUAUAGACCCGAAACCCGGUGAUCUAGCCAUGGGCAGGUUGAAGGUUGGGUAACACUAACUGGAGGACCGAACCGACUAAUGUUGAAAAAUUAGCGGAUGACUUGUGGCUGGGGGUGAAAGGCCAAUCAAACCGGGAGAUAGCUGGUUCUCCCCGAAAGCUAUUUAGGUAGCGCCUCGUGAACUCAUCUUCGGGGGUAGAGCACUGUUUCGGCUAGGGGGUCAUCCCGACUUACCAACCCGAUGCAAACUACGAAUACCGAAGAAUGUUAUCACGGGAGACACACGGCGGGUGCUAACGUCCGUCGUGAAGAGGGAAACAACCCAGACCGCCAGCUAAGGUCCCAAAGUCAUGGUUAAGUGGGAAACGAUGUGGGAAGGCACAGACAGCCAGGAUGUUGGCUUAGAAGCAGCCAUCAUUUAAAGAAAGCGUAAUAGCUCACUGGUCGAGUCGGCCUGCGCGGAAGAUGUAACGGGGCUAAACCAUGCACCGAAGCUGCGGCAGCGACACUAUGUGUUGUUGGGUAGGGGAGCGUUCUGUAAGCCUGCGAAGGUGUGCUGUGAGGCAUGCUGGAGGUAUCAGAAGUGCGAAUGCUGACAUAAGUAACGAUAAAGCGGGUGAAAAGCCCGCUCGCCGGAAGACCAAGGGUUCCUGUCCAACGUUAAUCGGGGCAGGGUGAGUCGACCCCUAAGGCGAGGCCGAAAGGCGUAGUCGAUGGGAAACAGGUUAAUAUUCCUGUACUUGGUGUUACUGCGAAGGGGGGACGGAGAAGGCUAUGUUAGCCGGGCGACGGUUGUCCCGGUUUAAGCAUGUAGGCUGGUUAUCCAGGCAAAUCCGGAUAAUCAAGGCUGAGGUGUGAUGACGAGGCACUACGGUGCUGAAGUAACAAAUGCCCUGCUUCCAGGAAAAGCCUCUAAGCAUCAGGUAACAUCAAAUCGUACCCCAAACCGACACAGGUGGUCAGGUAGAGAAUACCAAGGCGCUUGAGAGAACUCGGGUGAAGGAACUAGGCAAAAUGGUGCCGUAACUUCGGGAGAAGGCACGCUGGUGUGUAGGUGAAGUCCCUGCGGAUGGAGCUGAGACCAGUCGAAGAUACCAGCUGGCUGCAACUGUUUAUUAAAAACACAGCACUGUGCAAACACGAAAGUGGACGUAUACGGUGUGACGCCUGCCCGGUGCCGGAAGGUUAAUUGAUGGGGUUAUCCGUAAGGAGAAGCUCUUGAUCGAAGCCCCGGUAAACGGCGGCCGUAACUAUAACGGUCCUAAGGUAGCGAAAUUCCUUGUCGGGUAAGUUCCGACCUGCACGAAUGGCGUAAUGAUGGCCAGGCUGUCUCCACCCGAGACUCAGUGAAAUUGAACUCGCUGUGAAGAUGCAGUGUACCCGCGGCAAGACGGAAAGACCCCGUGAACCUUUACUAUAGCUUGACACUGAACAUUGAGCCUUGAUGUGUAGGAUAGGUGGGAGGCUUUGAAGCGUGGACGCCAGUCUGCGUGGAGCCAACCUUGAAAUACCACCCUUUAAUGUUUGAUGUUCUAACGUUGGCCCCUGACCGGGGUUGCGGACAGUGUCUGGUGGGUAGUUUGACUGGGGCGGUCUCCUCCCAAAGCGUAACGGAGGAGCACGAAGGUUAGCUAAUCCUGGUCGGACAUCAGGAGGUUAGUGCAAUGGCAUAAGCUAGCUUGACUGCGAGCGUGACGGCGCGAGCAGGUGCGAAAGCAGGUCAUAGUGAUCCGGUGGUUCUGAAUGGAAGGGCCAUCGCUCAACGGAUAAAAGGUACUCCGGGGAUAACAGGCUGAUACCGCCCAAGAGUUCAUAUCGACGGCGGUGUUUGGCACCUCGAUGUCGGCUCAUCACAUCCUGGGGCUGAAGUAGGUCCCAAGGGUAUGGCUGUUCGCCAUUUAAAGUGGUACGCGAGCUGGGUUUAGAACGUCGUGAGACAGUUCGGUCCCUAUCUGCCGUGGGCGCUGGAGAAUUGAGGGGGCUGCUCCUAGUACGAGAGGACCGGAGUGGACGCAUCACUGGUGUUCGGGUUGUCAUGCCAAUGGCACUGCCCGGUAGCUAAAUGCGGAAGAGAUAAGUGCUGAAAGCAUCUAAGCACGAAACUUGCCCCGAGAUGAGUUCUCCCUGAGACUAUAAGUCUCCUGAAGGAACGUUAAAGACGAUGACGUUGAUAGGCCGGGUGUGUAAGCGCAGCGAUGCGUUGAGCUAACCGGUACUAAUGAACCGUGAGGCUUAACCUUACAACGCCGAAG
RNAcentral lists this ribosomal RNA (2922 nucleotides) under Klebsiella pneumoniae. RNAcentral describes it as "bacterial LSU rRNA". It matches the Rfam family "Bacterial large subunit ribosomal RNA". Lineage: Bacteria; Pseudomonadati; Pseudomonadota; Gammaproteobacteria; Enterobacterales; Enterobacteriaceae. The record is from RNAcentral.